CAAAAUCUAUUAAUAUCUAAACGCGUUUCGCCUUAACAGGCUUCUUGAAGAAGCCUGUUAAGGCGAAACGCGUUUAGAUAUUAAUA
Pelobates cultripes (western spadefoot toad) is the source of this 86-nucleotide non-coding RNA. The record is from the annotation of a GenBank genome assembly. NCBI's taxonomy places the organism in Eukaryota, Metazoa, Chordata, Amphibia, Anura, Pelobatidae.